Molecule: ribosomal RNA, 497 nt
Filed under: uncultured bacterium
Lineage: Bacteria
Description: partial 16S ribosomal RNA
Rfam family: Bacterial small subunit ribosomal RNA
Source: RNAcentral
GAUGAACGCUGGCGGCGUGCCUAAUACAUGCAAGUCGAGCGAACAGACGAGGAGCUUGCUCCUCUGACGUUAGCGGCGGACGGGUGAGUAACACGUGGAUAACCUACCUAUAAGACUGGGAUAACUUCGGGAAACCGGAGCUAAUACCGGAUAAUAUAUUGAACCGCAUGGUUCAAUCGUGUAAGACGGUUUUGCUGUCACUUAUAGAUGGAUCCGCGCCGCAUUAGCUAGUUGGUAAGGUAACGGCUUACCAAGGCAACGAUUCGUAGCCGACCUGAGAGGGUGAUCGGCCACACUGGAACUGAGACACGGUCCAGACUCCUACGGGAGGCAGCAGUAGGGAAUCUUCCGCAAUGGGCGAAAGCCUGACGGAGCAACGCCGCGUGAGUGAUGAAGGUCUUCGGAUCGUAAAACUCUGUUAUUAGGGAAGAACAAAUGUGUAAGUAACUAUGCACGUCUUGACGGUACCUAAUCAGAAAGCCACGGCUAACUACGUG